UCCCUGAUGUUCUAGUGGUCAGGAUUCAGCGCUCUCACUGCCACGGUCCGAGUUCGAUUCCUGGUCAGGGAA
Non-coding RNA from Danionella cerebrum, 72 nucleotides. The record is from the annotation of a GenBank genome assembly. Lineage: Eukaryota; Metazoa; Chordata; Actinopteri; Cypriniformes; Danionidae.